UACGUGGGGUGCAAGCGUUAUCCGGAUUUAUUGGGCGUAAAGAGUUCGUAGGCGUCUAGUUAAGUUUUGUUUGAAAUCUCGAGGCUUAACCUCGAAAUUGGGCGAAAUACUGGCUAGAUUGAGUCUGUUAGGGGGUACUGGAACUCACGGUGUAGCAGUGAAAUGCGUUGAUAUCGUGAGGAACACCAAGGGCGAAGGCAGGUACCUGGGACAUGACUGACGCUGAGGAACGAAAGCUAGGGGAGCGAAAGGG
This 253-nucleotide ribosomal RNA is filed under the name uncultured bacterium. Its description in RNAcentral is "partial 16S ribosomal RNA". It matches the Rfam family "Bacterial small subunit ribosomal RNA", at positions 524 to 776 of the family's 1533-position model. The record is from RNAcentral.